This 78-nucleotide transfer RNA is filed under the name Deltaproteobacteria bacterium. RNAcentral's name for it is "tRNA-Pro". It matches the Rfam family "tRNA". Rfam says of the family: Transfer RNA (tRNA) molecules are approximately 80 nucleotides in length. Their secondary structure includes four short double-helical elements and three loops (D, anti-codon, and T loops). Lineage: Bacteria; Pseudomonadati; Myxococcota; Myxococcia. The record is from RNAcentral. RNAcentral also lists the same sequence under 2 other names.
CGGGAUGUGGCGCAGCCUGGUUAGCGCGCUUGUCUGGGGGACAAGAGGUCGGAGGUUCAAAUCCUCUCAUCCCGACCA